This 616-nucleotide ribosomal RNA is filed under the name Polyergus rufescens. Its description in RNAcentral is "partial 16S ribosmal RNA". The stretch from base 469 to 616 matches the Rfam family "Archaeal large subunit ribosomal RNA", at positions 2542 to 2690 of the family's 2987-position model. The record is from RNAcentral. Lineage: Eukaryota; Metazoa; Arthropoda; Insecta; Hymenoptera; Formicidae.
CACCUGUUUAUCAAAAACAUGGUCUUAUGAUUAUAUUUUAAGAUUUAUUCUGCUCAAUGAUAAAUAUAUUAUUAAAUAGCCGCAGUAUUUUGACUGUGCAAAGGUAGCAUAAUCAAUUGUUUUUUAAUUGAGGACUGGGAUGAAGGAAUGGAUGAAAUUUAAACUGUCUUUAAUAAAAAAUUAAAAUUUAAAUUUUAAGUAAAAAUGCUUAAAUAUUAUUAUGGGACGAGAAGACCCUAUAGAAUUUUAUAUAUGAUUUGAUAAUUGUAGUUAUGUGUAAUAAUUAUUAUUUAAUUGUAUAUUUUAUUGGGAGGAUAAUUAAAUUAAAUAAACUUUAUUAUAUAGAUUAUAUAAUAUGUUUAAGAAUAUAUUUAUUUUAUUUUAUAAUAAUAUUAUAUAUUAAAACAUUAAUUUAUGAAAAAUUGAAUAAAUUUAAAUUAAAUUUAUGUAAAAAUUAAUUACCUUAGGGAUAACAGCGUUAUAUUUUUUAAAAGAUCUUAUUGAAAAAAAUGUUUGCGACCUCGAUGUUGAAUUAAAAUAAAAAUUAAAUGAAGAAGUUUAGUAUUUUAGUCUGUUCGACUAUUAAAAUUUUACAUGAUUUGAGUUCAAAUCGACG